Long non-coding RNA from Mustela erminea (ermine), 790 nucleotides. RefSeq lists it as uncharacterized. The record is from RefSeq and is a predicted model, not a curated record. The transcript has 2 exons. NCBI's taxonomy places the organism in Eukaryota, Metazoa, Chordata, Mammalia, Carnivora, Mustelidae.
GGGUCCGCACGUCCCUGACGAUGAGUGACGUGGGCACCUUCCCACAUGCUUGCUAGUCAUUGUGUACUUCUGUGGGGAAAUCACCCUUACGUUUUAUCAACAAAAACAAAAUGUACCGGCAUUUGAAAAUAGUCCUUUCUAGCAUUUCUACAGAACACACAACAGUCACGAUUCAGAUACCUGACUGGCCAGACCACUUAACUGAGUGGAACAUUGUUGACGUUACCAGGAAGGUGGGUGGGCUCGGAAGCCGUCAACAGCUCUUAGAGAGUGCUCCCUCGGCCUGCGUUCCCCCGGGAAGGCGCUCGGUGACGUCUCCACUCUCCGACACGCGGGAGAGCAGCCUGAGCUCUUGGGGUCGUGAGCGACCGACCCAGGCGGGCCUGACGAAGCAGGGCUCGAGUCUCAGACGCAGACUGCUGGCGCAUGGGAGAGGAAGUAGCUGGCGAGCCCUCUUGAUGGUUUCCACUUUGGCUUAGUUAUAAACGUGCGAUUGGGCUCAUUAUCGUGACGUAAGGCAGACUCUCGGGACGGGGACGUGAGUUUCUUAUCUGCCUCUCUCGCAAGGCCGGCAGGGCAGCGUGAGCUGAGCACGGCCAUCGGCUCUCUUCCUACAUGGUCCUGCCCCAAAGGCCAUCGCUUCCCCCUUCCUCGCUCGGCUUCCUUCCUGGGGACUUGGGGGUACAACACCCAGCUCUUCCCCAAGCAGGAUUUGGAACACAUUCUGUGGGAAGGACUUUGCCUUCACCUCAGGUUUUGGUUACGGAUCCGCUGCAGCUGGCCUGGUGAU